ACAGUUAGCGGAUUACGUGGUCUUGGUUGUUGCAUUUUACUCCUCUGCUAAUAGUUUGAAACACGCGCUCGCUAACUGCGCGCACGAGAACGAGUACUGCAGAGAUACAAUACUUUUACACCGUGACAACAGCCUAAAACGGUGUAACUGAAAUUAAGGAAUCCCCAUAAUUGGCUUGGAUUGUUGGCUUUCCUCUAUAGUCGAUUGAUCAUGGUCCAUGAUGUUUGUGCCAAAGUGAAACCCGCUUUCCUUUUUUUUAGAACGUCAAGGGCUGUGUUAUUGCAGCAACCAGCAAGCAAAAUUGUUGAUAAUACUGUCUAUUUUGUCCCGUUAUAGUAGAUGGGCCUGACUUGGGAAACGGUGUGUCUGCUAAAUUGUUGGUUAAUAUUUUGGACAAACUGAAUAACUACGAAUCCACGAAACCAGUGAUAACCUUAUUAUCAUGAGGUUUAUGAUCCAAAAUAGUCGCAUACCAGCAUUGUUCGUACACACUGUGCUGUCUCUGUUGUGAGUACAUGUUGAAGUGUGCCGUAACUAUGUAUACAGUUACUGCAUAAAAAACUUACAAUCUAAACUUACGGCGCAUUCUUUUAACGAUGCAGGCAUUUCUCCGCAUCAGACAAAAAAAGCCGCUUUUUUUACCUUCAUUGUGGUUUUGCUAACAUAUUUCGUGGACAGGAAUUUCACGUUCAAGGUACUGUAUAACCGUGUUCAGUUGAACUAUUUAGCCAAAGGGCUUAAAACAACCGUUAAGGCGCUAGCAGCUAAACUGGAUAUGAGAAAAUAGUCAUAGCUACGAUAGACAUCCGCAAAACAGCUUUUGCUUUUUGCACGCCUGCUUCUACUUAGCGCUUACUUUUAAUAUGCGGAGAGCCCACAUAUUAUGACUGCAUGCAAAGGAUCAGCAUUAUGAUCAUUUCAUUAUGAAAGGUUGCCCUUAACUUCUCAUGCGCGCUGCCGGAUUUCUCAUGCAGAACGCUACAGCAGUAACAGUUCUGUCUGGAUAUCUCGUCAAUGCCAGCCUUUCUAACUGGUCGACGAAUAGAACUUCAGCUGAAAAUUCGAUGGCUUGGGUUAGCAUACUUUUUAUCGGAUGAGCGACCUGGUUUAACGGGCGGGGCGGCGGUCAUCCUUCCGUGGUUUACUGACGCGUCAAUGACUUUGUCUGAUUGGAUCUUAGUUGUGUUCUCCUGGGAACGGCUGCUUGUGAUUUCGAAUCCUUUCCGGUUCGCAUUCUUGCAGCGGGUAGUAACAGCUCGGUGCCUUAUUGUCGUUCUCGCUGCUCUAUCGUUCGCAUGUCACAUGGCCAGUUUUGCAAUGCGCUAUGAUCUUUUCAUAUUUAACCUUCACAGCACGGCUGGCUCAUUUUAUUCUUCCCCACUCUGGCUGCAGGAAUGGGAUGUCGUUGACAGAAAGGGUCUGGUAUGUCUUGUAUCCGCAGGGUCAGUUAAUCUUUUACUCUUUACAGUGAACUGCCUUGCAUAUUACUAAACCUUAUUAAUAUGAUGGCUAAAGAAAGUUUUUGCGCGAAGCCUACGAGCUACUUUGCUAGGAAGCGAUUGACAACUGACAAGGCUGUUUGCAAGGCCGUUUAUGCCAAAUUUGGCUAGAGCGCAAUGAGGCUCAUUGCGCUCUAGAGAAAAGCAAAUGCAUUCCCGCCCUAAACGGAAAUCUCCAGGUCGCAACGAUUCGGUAUAGUACCGUAUUUACCAGAGCACACAUUCCGUUAAUAUUAAAAAAAACUUAAUAUAAAACCUCUACUGAGGUUUUUUCCCACAAUAACCUUAUUGCUUCAUACACUUAGUCGCUAUCACUUAAAGUGCGGUGUUUUACUAUUUGGGUGUAUUGAGUGGUAUGAUGCUUUCUGUAAUUAUUCGCUUACUAUAGCCUACAUCGCGGUCGACAGACAGUUUGGUAUAUGUAGUGAACAAACCGGCGAAAUUAAAAAUGAAAGUUUCCCCAUUCAUGAAAACAGGCCUCGCUGACUACGGUCGAUCAUUAUAUAAUGAAAGCGGAUAAUACAUUGUUUAGUGAUAACACUCCGUGAAAAGUACGAAAGCGUCACGUUUAAGCAAUCCGAAUUCUCUGAAUUUUCCAAUACAAUUUUUCUUAAAUAAUCAUUAUAGUAUUAUGAUGGUUUAUCCAUAAGUUAAAACUGUAGAGACUCCGUGGCUUUAAACAUACAGCUGAUUCUGCAAUGAUUUGUGGUGCCUCAGAAAUUAAUCUAUUCGCACAGAAGGAUGGAAAUCCAAGCGAAUGCAUGUAAAAUUUUUUUUACCUACGCGAUAUUACAGUAUGUAUCAACAAAUGUUGUAGUCGGUAAACGAAUCGACACGAAUGAACAUGUUCUGAUCGGUUAUGUCCUCCCCUUGCAGGUUGCGGUGCCCCUUUUGACGUUUUUGCUAAUCCUCAUUCCCAGUGUAAUCCUGAUUAUUUUCCUCAUGGGCCAACGGCGAUUUGAAUUUGGAAUUAACAUUCCGGGCAAACUCAUAUUAUACGGUACGUUUUGCCGGCCAGGGGCAGGCUGCGGCCGGAUCUAAGACUAAAAGUGGUGAAGUUCGUCUAGCGGCAACAGUAUUAAUAAAGCAAGGGAGUGCUAACGGCUAAAAUCGGCAACAAUCAGACCAGGAAAUAACUGACAAACAAAGGUCACCUUAACCAGUAUUGUGGGAGAGUGUGUGGCCGCUGUUGUGCUCGGACUGCACCGUUUUUAUCAGUCAAGCACCUUAAUGCCGGUUUAAGAUUUCUCAAAACCUACAUUGUCUGCAUGGUAAUCAGCAUAAUGUUGUCUGUGGGUAUAAAUCGUAUGAUCAUUCAUGGCGCACUCAUCGUAACCUGGGAACAGAAAUUCCAUUAUAGUUCUGGUGGACCAACCAUUAUCGGCUACGCAGGGUUCUUUAUUGUCCUGGAAAUUACGUUUGUAGUGCGAGCUGUGAGAACGAUCAGUACAUGGACAUCAUACGGUGUCGCACCAGUGGAAUCCACUUUGAUUCCCUCUCAAACGGUAUCCGUUGGAGGUUGUCAUCCUCCUGCUACAAGACAAGCCAUGUUGGCGGAGAAAAUGCCGUUGGAUAGUUAUUCUUAUCUGACACCGCGAAAUGAUGACGCUACGCAUGUGCCCUGGCGUUUGAAUGAUGCUUUGGGCUCUGGAAAUCCUCCACAAAAUCAUGGGUUUUCAUCUGUGGUCAGCGCAGCAAGAGAUACAAAACCGGAAACAUUGUUAAGUAUCCGAAUGUCAAUGGAUCACCUUGCUGCAUUGGUCGGCCUUUGCAUGCAGAUGUCUGGGACACGCAUAUUUGCGUAUCGGGAAACUUGGAAACUGGUUGUUUUUCAAAGACAUGAUGGACUGCAUAAUCGUUUGUGAACACAAAUACGUCGAAAAUAUGUCAAUUUCUUAAAUCGAAUGCCAGGUUAUGAAAUCAAACGCUUGCUAAAAACGGUGGCCGAGAAAAUCCCACUACUCAUAUGCAAACCUAGCGGUCAUCAAAAAGAGGCAGACAAUCCGUGCGGUAAUAACUUUUAGUUAAAAUCUGGGUAAACCAUGGUAACCAUUUGUUUUCCAGUGACUGAAAAUUAUCUUCUAUCCAAACAUUCUUCUCCAUGUCAUAGCGUUCCAUUUGCAGUAAUGGAUAAUAGUCCUGCCAGCUUCUUCUCCCGCCACAAACAUAAAUGUUCUCAUUUACCACGAAUGCACCAUGAUUGAACCUGUUAUGCACCAGAGAUCCCAAAGUUUCCCAGGACUGAGUAACCAGAUCGAAGCGCAAACAUGAAUCCAACACCCGCUUGUCAGCAGGUUCUCCACCGACAUGGACCACACCAAACUUUUUUCCUUUUGCCCAAAAGUACACUUUCUCUCCAAUUCCGACUGGACAUACGAAGAAAUAUCUUGGACUCAAGUUCAGUGCUCGCCAUGAUUGUCUGAUUAUAUUCCAAACGAUGGUUUCGAUCGUUCCAUCGGAGCGCAGAAAUUGGCAAACCAUUUCGCUUCCAAGAGUUGUGAAAUUAUUACCACCAUAACACAGUUGUUUGUUCCGUAAAGCGGUAGGGAGCGGCCAUGCGCGUAGUGUCACCGUUGCGGUAUUUAGCAAUUGUACGGACAAGCUCAUCUUGUACACCGGAGCCGUUGAACCGUCAAUAUCUGUCCAAGUCAAUCGUGCUGCAAAAUCUGGCAUGUCGAUUCGAAGCACCGCAAUUUCAGAUGAGACAGUUGUUCCUUUCUCUGCGUUCAGGAGCUGGAGCAACAAGUUAUCGGCACCAAUUCUGUCUUUACUAUGAACACAUAGGCAGCGUCCCGCACAUGAAGCCAUAA
This is an RNA transcript of Paramacrobiotus metropolitanus, 4309 nucleotides long. RefSeq lists it as uncharacterized. Lineage: Eukaryota; Metazoa; Tardigrada; Eutardigrada; Parachela; Macrobiotidae. The record is from RefSeq and is a predicted model, not a curated record. The transcript is spliced from 5 exons.